RNAcentral lists this ribosomal RNA (508 nucleotides) under uncultured bacterium. RNAcentral describes it as "partial 16S ribosomal RNA". It matches the Rfam family "Bacterial small subunit ribosomal RNA", at positions 28 to 523 of the family's 1533-position model. The record is from RNAcentral.
AGCGAACGCUGGCGGCGUGCCUAAUACAUGCAAGUCGAACGAAAACCAUGCCUUCGGGCAUGGGGAAAGCGGCGAACGGGUGAGUAUCACGUGGGUAAUCUGCCCUCGGCACCGGGAUAGCCCGGGGAAACCCGGAUUAAUACCGGACGGCCUCUCGAGCUUUCGGGCUCGUGAGAAAAGGUAGCUUCGGCCUCCGGCCGAGGAGGAGCCCGCGGCGGAUUAGCUUGUUGGCGGGGUCACGGCCCACCAAGGCGACGCUCCGGAGCUGGUCUGAGAGGACGAUCAGCCACACUGGGACUGAGACACGGCCCAGACUCCUACGGGAGGCAGCAGUAGGGAAUCUUGCGCAAUGGGCGAAAGCCUGACGCAGCGACGCCGCGUGCGGGAAGAAGGCCUUCGGGUUGUAAACCGCUUUUCUGAGAGAAGAAGCUACUCGGGUUAAUAGCCCAGAGGGUGACGGUAUCUCAGGAAUAAGCCCCGGCUAACUACGUGCCAGCCGCCGCCGUAA